RNAcentral lists this ribosomal RNA (485 nucleotides) under uncultured bacterium. Its description in RNAcentral is "bacterial SSU rRNA". It matches the Rfam family "Bacterial small subunit ribosomal RNA", at positions 29 to 507 of the family's 1533-position model. The record is from RNAcentral.
UUGAACGCUGGCGGAAUGCUUUACACAUGCAAGUCGGGCGGCAGCGGCGGGGCAACCCUGGCGGCGAGCGGGCGAACGGGUGAGUAACACAUCGGAACGUACCCUGUCGUGGGGGAUAACGAAUCGAAAGAUUCGCUAAUACCGCAUACGACCUGAGGGUGAAAGCGGGGGAUCGCAAGACCUCGCGCGAGAGGAGCGGCCGAUGGCGGAUUAGCUAGUUGGUGGGGUAAAGGCCCACCAAGGCGACGAUCCGUAGCGGGGUCUGAGAGGACGGCCCGCCACACUGGGACUGAGACACGGCCCAGACUCCUACGGGAGGCAGCAGUGGGGAAUUUUGGACAAUGGGGGCAACCCUGAUCCAGCCAUUCCGCGUGAGUGAAGAAGGCCUUCGGGUUGUAAAGCUCUUUCGGCAGGAACGAAACGGCGGGCUCUAACAUAGCCUGUCAAUGACGGUACCUGAAGAAGAAGCACCGGCUAACUACGUG